AUUGAACGCUGGCGGAAUGCUUUACACAUGCAAGUCGAACGGCAGCACGGACUUCGGUCUGGUGGCGAGUGGCGAACGGGUGAGUAAUGUAUCGGAACGUGCCCAGUCGUGGGGGAUAACGUAGUGAAAAUUACGCUAAUACCGCAUACGAUCUAUGGAUGAAAGCGGGGGACCGUAAGGCCUCGCGCGAUUGGAGCGGCCGAUAUCAGAUUAGGUAGUUGGUGGGGUAAAGGCUCACCAAGCCGACGAUCUGUAGCUGGUCUGAGAGGACGACCAGCCACCCUGGAACUGAGACACGGUCCAGACUCCUACGGGAGGCAGCAGUGGGGAAUUUUGAACAAUGGGCGCAAGCCUGAUCCAGCCAUUCCGCGUGCAGGAUGAAGGCCCUCGGGUUGUAAACUGCUUUUGUACGGAACGAAAAGGUCCUGGUUAAUACCUGGGGCUCAUGACGGUACCGUAAGAAUAAGCACCGGCUAACUACGUGCCAGCCGCCGCCGUAA
This 500-nucleotide ribosomal RNA is filed under the name uncultured bacterium. RNAcentral's name for it is "partial 16S ribosomal RNA". It matches the Rfam family "Bacterial small subunit ribosomal RNA", at positions 30 to 523 of the family's 1533-position model. The record is from RNAcentral.